Molecule: ribosomal RNA, 253 nt
Filed under: uncultured bacterium
Lineage: Bacteria
Description: partial 16S ribosomal RNA
Rfam family: Bacterial small subunit ribosomal RNA
Source: RNAcentral
UACGUAGGGUGCAAGCGUUGCCCGGAUUUAUUGGGCGUAAAGGGCGCGUAGGCGGCUCUGCACGUUCGUUGUGAAAUCGCCCGGCUCAACUGGGCGGGGUCAGCGGAUACGGCAGAGCUUGAGCAAGCUAGGGGGCAAUGGAAUUCCCGGUGUAGUGGUGGAAUGCGUAGAUAUCGGGAGGAACACCAGUGGCGAAGGCAGAUCUCUGGGCCGUAACUGACGCUGAGGAGCGAAAGCAUGGGGAGCGAACAGG